Molecule: unclassified non-coding RNA, 330 nt
Filed under: soil metagenome
Description: partial contains 5.8S ribosomal RNA, internal transcribed spacer 2, and large subunit ribosomal RNA
Rfam family: 5.8S ribosomal RNA (bases 1-121)
Source: RNAcentral
GAUGAAGAACGUAGUGAAAUGCGAUAAGUAAUGCGAAUUGCAGAAUUUCCGUGAGUCAUCGAAUCUUUGAACGCACAUUGCGCCCUCUGGUAUUCCGGGGGGCAUGCCUGUUCGAGCGUCAUUAUAACCACUCAAGCUCUCGCUUGGUAUUGGAGUUCGCGAUCUCGCGGCUCCUAAAAUCAGUGGCGGUGCCUGUCGGCUCUACGCGUAGUAAUACUCCUCGCGAUUGAGUCCGGUAGGUUUACUUGCCAGCAACCCCCAAUUUUUACAGGUUGACCUCGGAUCAGGUAGGGAUACCCGCUGAACUUAAGCAUAUCAAUAAGCGGAGGA